This 74-nucleotide transfer RNA is filed under the name Caudoviricetes sp. Its description in RNAcentral is "tRNA-Leu". It matches the Rfam family "tRNA". Rfam says of the family: Transfer RNA (tRNA) molecules are approximately 80 nucleotides in length. Their secondary structure includes four short double-helical elements and three loops (D, anti-codon, and T loops). Further hydrogen bonds mediate the characteristic L-shaped molecular structure. tRNAs have two regions of fundamental functional importance: the anti-codon, which is responsible for specific mRNA codon recognition, and the 3' end, to which the tRNAs corresponding amino acid is attached (by aminoacyl-tRNA synthetases). tRNAs cope with the degeneracy of the genetic code in two manners: having more than one tRNA (with a specific anti-codon) for a particular amino acid; and 'wobble' base-pairing, i.e. permitting non-standard base-pairing at the 3rd anti-codon position. The record is from RNAcentral. Lineage: Duplodnaviria; Heunggongvirae; Uroviricota; Caudoviricetes.
GCUCGAGUGGGCUAAUUGGUAUAGCCGUCAAGCUCAAACCUUGAUGUUUGUGAGUUCGAGUCUCACCUCGAGUA